GAUGAACGCUGGCGGCGUGCCUAAUACAUGCAAGUCGAGCGAAUGGAUUAAGAGCUUGCUCUUAUGAAGUUAGCGGCGGACGGGUGAGUAACACGUGGGUAACCUGCCCAUAAGACUGGGAUAACUCCGGGAAACCGGGGCUAAUACCGGAUAACAUUUUGAACCGCAUGGUUCGAAAUUGAAAGGCGGCUUCGGCUGUCACUUAUGGAUGGACCCGCGUCGCAUUAGCUAGUUGGUGAGGUAACGGCUCACCAAGGCAACGAUGCGUAGCCGACCUGAGAGGGUGAUCGGCCACACUGGGACUGAGACACGGCCCAGACUCCUACGGGAGGCAGCAGUAGGGAAUCUUCCGCAAUGGACGAAAGUCUGACGGAGCAACGCCGCGUGAGUGAUGAAGGCUUUCGGGUCGUAAAACUCUGUUGUUAGGGAAGAACAAGUGCCAGUUAAAUAAGCUGGCACCUUGACGGUACCUAACCAGAAAGCCACGGCUAACUACGUGCCAGCAGCCGCUGUAA
This 515-nucleotide ribosomal RNA is filed under the name uncultured bacterium. RNAcentral describes it as "partial 16S ribosomal RNA". It matches the Rfam family "Bacterial small subunit ribosomal RNA", at positions 28 to 523 of the family's 1533-position model. The record is from RNAcentral.